ACGGGAGGCAGCAGUGGGGAAUAUUGCACAAUGGGCGCAAGCCUGAUGCAGCAACGCCGCGUGAGCGAAGAAGGCCUUUGGGUCGUAAAGCUCUGUUGGAAGGGAAGAAACAAAUGACGGUACCUUCCAAGGAAGCCCCGGCUAACUACGUGCCAGCAGCCGCGGUAAUACGUAGGGGGCAAGCGUUAUCCGGAAUUAUUGGGCGUAAAGGGUGCGUAGGUGGUCCUGUAAGCGUGGGGUGAAAGGCAGUGGCUUAACCAUUGUAAGCCUUGCGAACUGCGGGACUUGAGUGCAGGAGAGGAAAGCGGAAUUCCUAGUGUAGCGGUGAAAUGCGUAGAUAUUAGGAGGAACACCAGUGGCGAAGGCGGCUUUCUGGACUGUAACUGACACUGAGGCACGAAAGCGUGGGGAGCAAACAGGAUUAGAUACCCUGGUA
This 436-nucleotide ribosomal RNA is filed under the name uncultured Anaerovorax sp. RNAcentral describes it as "partial 16S ribosomal RNA". It matches the Rfam family "Bacterial small subunit ribosomal RNA", at positions 341 to 792 of the family's 1533-position model. Lineage: Bacteria; Bacillati; Bacillota; Clostridia; Peptostreptococcales; Anaerovoracaceae. The record is from RNAcentral.